UACGUAGGGGGCAAGCGUUGUCCGGAUUUACUGGGCGUAAAGCGCACGUAGGCGGCUUUGUAAGUUAGAGGUGAAAGCCCGGGGCUCAACUCCGGAACUGCCUUUAAGACUGCAUCGCUAGAAUUGUGGAGAGGUAAGUGGAAUUCCGAGUGUAGAGGUGAAAUUCGUAGAUAUUCGGAAGAACACCAGUGGCGAAGGCGACUUACUGGACACAUAUUGACGCUGAGGCGCGAAAGCUAGGGGAGCAAACAGG
RNAcentral lists this ribosomal RNA (253 nucleotides) under uncultured bacterium. Its description in RNAcentral is "partial 16S ribosomal RNA". It matches the Rfam family "Bacterial small subunit ribosomal RNA", at positions 524 to 776 of the family's 1533-position model. The record is from RNAcentral.